AUCUAUGGCCAUGCCACCUUGAAUGUGUCUGAUCUUAUCUGACUUCAGAAGCUAAGCAGGGUCGGGCCUGGUUAGUACUUGGAUGGGAGACCACCUAGGAAGACCAGGUGCUGUAGCAU
Molecule: ribosomal RNA, 119 nt
Filed under: Pteropus alecto (black flying fox)
Lineage: Eukaryota; Metazoa; Chordata; Mammalia; Chiroptera; Pteropodidae
Source: RNAcentral